CGUAGGGUGCGAGCGUUGUCCGGAAUUAUUGGGCGUAAAGGGCUCGUAGGCGGUUUGUCACGUCGGGAGUGAAAACUCAGGGCUUAACCCUGAGCCUGCUUUCGAUACGGGCAGACUAGAGGUAUGCAGGGGAGAACGGAAUUCCUGGUGUAGCGGUGAAAUGCGCAGAUAUCAGGAGGAACACCGGUGGCGAAGGCGGUUCUCUGGGCAUUACCUGACGCUGAGGAGCGAAAGUGUGGGGAGCGAACAGGAUUAGAUACCCUGGUAGUCCACACCGUAAACGUUGGGCGCUAGGUGUGGGACUCAUUCCACGAGUUCCGUGCCGCAGCUAACGCAUUAAGCGCCCCGCCUGGGGAGUACGGCCGCAAGGCUA
RNAcentral lists this ribosomal RNA (373 nucleotides) under uncultured organism. Its description in RNAcentral is "bacterial SSU rRNA". It matches the Rfam family "Bacterial small subunit ribosomal RNA", at positions 526 to 896 of the family's 1533-position model. The record is from RNAcentral.